GUAUGGAGUAUGUUUGUGUGAAUGUAGGGGUGUGUUUGUAUGUGGAGAUGGCAUUUAAAUGCAAGUAUGCAUUUAUGUGUAGUGUUGGUUUAUGAAUACACUGGUGUGUUUAUAUAUAAUUUUGUUGUUUAAAAUAAGAGGUGUGUUUAUAUGUAGUGUUGAAGUUUGAAUGCAGGUGUGUAUUUGCGUGUAGUGUUGAAUGCUGAGAUGUAUGCACAAAUACACAUGCACUGUCACAAAUACACACACACACACACUGUGAUACACAUACACACACAGAAACACUUGCAGAUACACAGAUAUACACAAUCAUACAGAUGCAGCUAUACAGACACAUUUACACACACAGACACACAUACAACCUGGCACACAUGCAGACACACAGAUGCACACACGCACACACACGCAAAUACACUGACAACAUACAGAUACACAGACAGACACAAUGACAACAUACAGACAUACAGAUACAUAACCUGAAAAAUGCAGAUACAAACACUGACACACAUGCGGAUACACACAUUGGAUACAUACAGAUACAUGCACGGGUAUAAACACUGGCACACACACA
Molecule: non-coding RNA, 571 nt
Organism: Pelobates cultripes (western spadefoot toad)
Lineage: Eukaryota; Metazoa; Chordata; Amphibia; Anura; Pelobatidae
Source: the annotation of a GenBank genome assembly